Molecule: ribosomal RNA, 251 nt
Filed under: uncultured bacterium
Lineage: Bacteria
Description: partial 16S ribosomal RNA
Rfam family: Bacterial small subunit ribosomal RNA
Source: RNAcentral
ACGGAAGGUCCGGGCGUUAUCCGGAUUUAUUGGGUUUAAAGGGAGCGUAGGCCGGAGAUUAAGCGUGUUGUGAAAUGUAGAUGCUCAACAUCUGAACUGCAGCGCGAACUGGUUUCCUUGAGUACGCAUAAAGUGGGCGGAAUUCGUGGUGUAGCGGUGAAAUGCUUAGAUAUCACGAAGAACUCCGAUUGCGAAGGCAGCUCACUGGGGCGCAACUGACGCUGAAGCUCGAAAGCGCGGGUAUCGAACAG